GACGAACGCUGGCGGCGUGCUUAACACAUGCAAGUCGAACGGAAAGGCCCUGCUUUUGUGGGGUGCUCGAGUGGCGAACGGGUGAGUAACACGUGAGUAACCUGCCCUUGACUUUGGGAUAACUUCAGGAAACUGGGGCUAAUACCGGAUAGGAGCUCCUGCUGCAUGGUGGGGGUUGGAAAGUUUCGGCGGUUGGGGAUGGACUCGCGGCUUAUCAGCUUGUUGGUGGGGUAGUGGCUUACCAAGGCUUUGACGGGUAGCCGGCCUGAGAGGGUGACCGGCCUCAAUGGGACUGAGAUACGGCCCAGACUCCUACGGUAGGCAGCAGUGGGGAGUAUUGCACAAUGGGCGGAAGCCUGAUGCAGCAACGCCGCGUGCGGGAUGACGGCCUUCGGGUUGUAAACCGCUUUCGCCUGAGACGAAGCGUGAGUGACGGUAAUGGGUAAAGAAGCACCGGCUAACUACGUG
RNAcentral lists this ribosomal RNA (468 nucleotides) under uncultured bacterium. RNAcentral's name for it is "partial 16S ribosomal RNA". It matches the Rfam family "Bacterial small subunit ribosomal RNA", at positions 28 to 507 of the family's 1533-position model. The record is from RNAcentral.